UACAGAGGUGGCAAGCGUUGUUCGGAAUUACUGGGCGUAAAGGGCGCGUAGGCGGCCUUCUAAGUCAGACGUGAAAUCCCCAGGCUUAACUUGGGAACUGCGUCUGAUACUGGGAGGCUUGAGUGCGGGAGAGGGAUGUGGAAUUCCAGGUGUAGCGGUGAAAUGCGUAGAUAUCUGGAGGAAUACCGGUGGCGAAGGCGGCAUCCUGGACCGGCAUUGACGCUGAGGAGCGAAAGCGUGGGGAGCAAACAGG
Molecule: ribosomal RNA, 253 nt
Filed under: uncultured bacterium
Lineage: Bacteria
Description: partial 16S ribosomal RNA
Rfam family: Bacterial small subunit ribosomal RNA
Source: RNAcentral